CGAUGAUACGCGAGGAACCUUACCGGGCUUGAAAUGCAUCUGACCGGCCUUGAAAGAGGUUUUUCCCGUUUCGGGGCAGAUGUGUGGUGCUGCAUGGUUGUCGUCAGCUCGUGCCGUGAGGUGUCGGCUUAAGUGCCAUAACGAGCGCAACCCUCAUCAUUAGUUACCAUCAGGUAAGGCUGGGGACUCUAAUGAGACUGCCAUCGUAAGAUGUGAGGAAGGUGGGGAUGACGUCAAAUCAGCACGGCCCUUACGUCCGGGGCGACACACGUGUUACAAUGGGUGGUACAAAGGGCAGCUACCUGGCGACAGGAUGCUAAUCUCCAAAACCACUCUCAGUUCGGAUCGGAGUCUGCAACUCGACUCCGUGAAGCUGGAUUCGCUAGUAAUCGCGCAUCAGCCACGGCGCGGUGAAUACGUUCCCGGGCCUU
Molecule: ribosomal RNA, 431 nt
Filed under: uncultured Proteiniphilum sp.
Lineage: Bacteria; Pseudomonadati; Bacteroidota; Bacteroidia; Bacteroidales; Dysgonomonadaceae
Description: bacterial SSU rRNA
Rfam family: Bacterial small subunit ribosomal RNA
Source: RNAcentral